Molecule: transfer RNA, 73 nt
Organism: Ipomoea nil (Japanese morning glory)
Lineage: Eukaryota; Viridiplantae; Streptophyta; Magnoliopsida; Solanales; Convolvulaceae
Rfam family: tRNA
About the family: Transfer RNA (tRNA) molecules are approximately 80 nucleotides in length.
Source: Rfam
GGGGGUGUAGCUCAUAUGGUAGAGCGCUCGCUUUGCAUGCGAGAGGCACAGGGUUUGAUUCCUUGCACCUCCA